Heterocephalus glaber (naked mole-rat) is the source of this 375-nucleotide long non-coding RNA. RefSeq lists it as uncharacterized. NCBI's taxonomy places the organism in Eukaryota, Metazoa, Chordata, Mammalia, Rodentia, Bathyergidae. The record is from RefSeq and is a predicted model, not a curated record.
UAAAGAAAAAAAGAACUCUAACCAGCCAAGAUGCUGGCCCAAAGCAAGAGGAAGACAGAAAGGAGGUGGAGGAAAUCAUAAAUAUCACGUAUUGCUGGAUGAUUGUAACAAGAAUUUAGAGGCUUGGCCUGCAGAUCCCUAACAGGCCAUGUUAUUUCUCCUCUGCAAUACCCACUUGGCAUUCCUGUCUUGACGCCAGCCAAUUAUGGACUGAAACCUCUACAAACUAAGACAAAGUCAAGAACACUUUAACCUGAUGGUAGGCACCUUCUUUCUCAUCCUUACCUCCAAAGAGGCUGAAAAAGGUAUUUCUGAAUACUUUGGAACCAAGAGCAUUUUCUGCAUUGCUACUAAAGGAUAUAAUUUUUACCUGGA